UGCCUCUGUGUGUGUGUGUGUGUGUGUGUGUGUGUGUCGGCAGAGGGCCAUAUAAAGGGAGAAGAAUCUAAAUUGAGAUUUUAAUAAAGUAUUCUGGCUAAAAACUCUGUAAUUAACUGCAUUAGUAAUUUAAUCUCUCUCAGCACAGAACAUUUUUGACUAUUAUGCGCCUGUCAUAAUUAAUUUUAUGUGUCAACUUGACUGUGCCAGAGGAUGCCCAGGUAUUUGUUUAAACAUUAUUCUGGGUGUGUCUGUGAGGGGCUUUUCUGAAUUAGAUUAACAUUUGAAUCAGUAGACAAUAAAGCAAAUUGCCCUCCUCCAUGUUGGGCACCAAAACAAUUCAUUGAAGGCCUUGAUAGAACAGAAAGGCUGAGUCAGGGCGAAUUUAUUCUCUCUCUGCUUGACUGUCUUCCUGCAGGACAUCAGGCAUCUCCUGCCUUUGCACUCGGACUUGGAACCAUACAAUCAAUCAGCUCUCCUGGGUCUCCAGCAUGUUAACUGCAGGUCUUGGGACUCUCAGCCUCCAUAAUCAUGAUUUUAAGCUAAUGGUGUCCCAGAAUACCAAAGAUUUCUAAAUCAUUCUGAAGAACAGUCGGCUUCCAGCAGCAGUGACAUUCAAGGAUGGAAAGAGAGGGGCAUGAUUCCUUUAUGGAGCAAAGUUUGAAAACUGGACGCAGAAUCACUACUAACAUUUUGGGGCCCAGCAGCUGGUAAAUAAGAGUUUGAUUUACUUUUGCAUACGGAACUAAUAUCCAAGCAUCCUUCCUAAACUGACCCCUUAAUUCAGACAGUUCGAAUGGAAGUCAUGGUGGCAGACAUCCUUAUGGUCUUACUGAUCACAGUGGAAUGGUUUCAAAAUUUCAAUAGCUCCCAAGGUUCUGCUAAAUUCCUGAUUGAACUUGAAGAGUCUCUUAGUCUCUCUGAGUCCUCAUCUCAUCUGUGAACUGUAGCUUACAUGCCUAAAUCUCAGAUUGUGAGAUAAAUUAUGAGUGCAUAAGCACUGCCUGGCUCAUGUGAUUCCUGGCAACCCAUGAUCUCAGAGAGAGAGAGAUUCCUUCUCUCCAGGAUUCUACUUGUGCCUGAAAAAAGGACUUUUGCUCUGGACAUGGCCACCCCUGGACCCAUCAGUGCAUCUCAAGGUUAUGGGGACACCUAGAUGACUCAGUCUCGGUUCAGAAGGCAUGGAAGCCAGCAUGUGAUUCACAGAAGAGCAUUUCCAGAUACAAAAAUGGCCUUUUUUUAUCACAGAAAAAGGAAAGUGACACUGAGGAAGCAAAACAGCAGACAUCUACUAUAAAAUUUUAAAAAGAAUCUCCUUCUGCUUUUUUAUUAUUCUAAACCUCUUUUUAUGUGUUUGGCUUUUAGAGUACACAUUUUCUAAGAAUUUCUUGUGUUGAAAAUAGGUGGUUAAUCUCAGAAGUGUACUCUUGGGGAACUCAAAGAUGCUUAUUUCUCUUUAUUUACAGUAUAUUUGAUAGACCUCAUAUAUUUUUUCUCCCUGUUUUUCCAUUGUCAAGUGUUUUCAAACAGAUAAGCUUCUAUGUAUUGCCUUAGGCCCAUUUUUAAAUUGAAUUGGUUUCUGUAUUAUUAUUCUUUCCAUACUGAGAACUGAACCAAAAGUUGAUAUAUUCCAGAACAGUCUAGAUAAUGCAUAUCUUUGGAAUUAUCUUCUACUUCUACUUCAUCUCUUUCUGAAGUUUUGAGCAGAUGAAUAUAUGAAAGAAUUACAAUCUCGGAAUCUAAUAUUAAUAGAAUUGCUAACAGAUCUCUUAUUCUCUAACUCUUCCCCUACCUCCCCUGAGGAUGCUUGCCUUGGAGGAGCUAUAGUUCCCAGAAUUCAAUGUUCCACCACUGCAACUACUUCCUACGCUACUCAUCCAUCACCAUCCCCUCCUAAGUUGCCUCUGCUGGAGCUGAUACUUACCAUGAAUUGAUUUCUGAAGUUCUAACACUUGGUAAGGUGAAUAAAGAGAAAAGUCGUGGGAUAGAGAGGAGGCAACUUCAAAAGCAGCCCUCCCAGAGAAAAAAAACCAGAAUCUCAUUUUCUGUUUGCUGAUCCAAGAACAGACUGGGGAGAUGGAUUAAGACCUUACAUUUAAUGAGCUGCCUCACAAGCCCAAUAAAAUGGUCCAAAGUUAGAUGUUUAAAAUCUGUUUCAUUUGCUUUACACAUAAUCCUUGCUUUUUUUUUUGUCAAAAUGUUGAUUCCUGAUCUUAGUUUACCUUACUUAAUUUUUUAUCUUUUGGGUAAGAAUUUGGGAUAGUUGCAUUAAGAGCAACUAAUAUGACUCUAUUUCAAACAGAAGAAUGAUCUUCCUGUAAUUUCUAAUUAAAAAGUGAUUCAGAAUUUCAUGAUGUUAAUGAUGUAUGUGUGCCUUAUUCUGUAGAAUAUGAAAAGCCAUUGAAGGUUUUUGAAGUUUUCUUCAAAUAAUUUUAGUUGAUGGAUUUUACUUUUGGUUGGUUCUUUAAUUUUUUGCUGUUCAUUCAAUUCUCUCUCAUCUCUAGAUUUUUUUUAAUUUAAUUUUUAUUUUA
Molecule: non-coding RNA, 2531 nt
Organism: Delphinapterus leucas (beluga whale)
Lineage: Eukaryota; Metazoa; Chordata; Mammalia; Artiodactyla; Monodontidae
Source: RefSeq, a predicted model, not a curated record